RNAcentral lists this ribosomal RNA (253 nucleotides) under uncultured bacterium. RNAcentral's name for it is "partial 16S ribosomal RNA". It matches the Rfam family "Bacterial small subunit ribosomal RNA", at positions 524 to 776 of the family's 1533-position model. The record is from RNAcentral.
UACAGAGGGUGCGAGCGUUGUCCGGAAUCACUGGGCGUAAAGGGCGCGUAGGUGGCGCGACAAGUCAGUGGUGAAAGCUCGACGCUCAACGUCGAGUCGGCCACUGAGACUGUUGGGCUUGAGCACUGUAGAGGCUAAUGGAAUUCCGGGUGUAGCGGUGGAAUGCGUAGAGAUCAGGAAGAACACCCGUGGCGAAGGCGGCUCUCUGGGACGGUACUGACGCUGAGGAGCGAAAGCGUGGGGAGCAAACAGG